RNAcentral lists this ribosomal RNA (465 nucleotides) under uncultured bacterium. RNAcentral describes it as "partial 16S ribosomal RNA". It matches the Rfam family "Bacterial small subunit ribosomal RNA", at positions 28 to 507 of the family's 1533-position model. The record is from RNAcentral.
GACGAACGCUGGCGGCGUGCUUAACACAUGCCAGUCGAACGGAAAGGCCCCUUUUGGGGUCCUCGAGUGGCGAACGGGUGAGUAACACGUGAGUAACCUGCCCUUGACUUCGUGAUAACUUCAGUAAACUGGGGCUAAUACCGGAUAGGAAUCCUUGCUGCAUGGUGGGGGUUGGAAAGCUUCGGCGGUUUUGGAUGGACUCGCGGCUUAUCAGCUUGUUGGUGGGGUAGUGGCUUACCAAGGCUUUGACGGGUAGCCGGCCUGAGAGGGCGACCGGCCACAUUGGGACUGAGAUACGGCCCAGACUCCUACGGGAGGCAGCAGUGGGGAAUAUUGCACAAUGGGCGGAAGCCUGAUGCAGCAACGCCGCGGGCGGGAUGACGGCCUUCGGGUUGGAAACCGCUUUCAGCAGGGGCGAAGCUUGUGGUGACGGUACCUGCAGAAGAAGCACCGGCUAACUACGUG